RNAcentral lists this transfer RNA (103 nucleotides) under Asterophora parasitica. It matches the Rfam family "tRNA". Rfam says of the family: Transfer RNA (tRNA) molecules are approximately 80 nucleotides in length. Lineage: Eukaryota; Fungi; Basidiomycota; Agaricomycetes; Agaricales; Lyophyllaceae. The record is from Rfam by way of RNAcentral.
GGUUCUAUAGUGUAGUGGUUAUCACUCGAGAUUUUGAAUUGGUGGAGUUAUAGACUACGCCAUAUAUCUUCUCGGAACCCAGGUUCGAACCCUGGUAGGACCU